Molecule: ribosomal RNA, 274 nt
Filed under: uncultured bacterium
Lineage: Bacteria
Description: partial 16S ribosomal RNA
Rfam family: Bacterial small subunit ribosomal RNA
Source: RNAcentral
AUACGGAGGGUGCAAGCGUUAUUCGGAAUCACUGGGCGUAAAGGACGCGUAGGCGGGUUGGCAAGUCAGAUGUGAAAUCCUACAGCUUAACUGUAGAACUGCAUUUGAAACUGCUAACCUAGAGUAUGGGAGGGGGAGAUGGAAUUAGUGGUGUAGGGGUAAAAUCCGUAGAUAUCACUAGGAGUACCGAAAGCGAAGGCGAUCUCCUGGAACAUAACUGACGCUAAGGCGUGAAAGCGUGGGGAGCAAACAGGAUUAGAUACCCUAGUAGUCC